GGUUGGUUAAUGUUGUAUGCGUAUGUUUCCCUUAAAACAAUAUGGUUAAACGGAGGGAUCCAUUUACUCAAAGAUUAAGUUUUUUAAACUUAUUCCUCAUUCUAUCCAUCAAUUCUAGGGAAAUCCAAUAGUUUCAAUUAAUGGGUAUAUCUAAACUAUUAAAUAUCCCUAUGAUUGAUGGCUAGGAUGGAGAAUAAACUUAAAAAAC
RNAcentral lists this long non-coding RNA (208 nucleotides) under Lupinus angustifolius (narrow-leaved blue lupine). Its description in RNAcentral is "long non-coding RNA (LANG_LNC000332)". The record is from RNAcentral. Lineage: Eukaryota; Viridiplantae; Streptophyta; Magnoliopsida; Fabales; Fabaceae.